UCGAACGGGCACUUCGGUGCUAGUGGCAGACGGGUGAGUAACACGCGGGAACGUACCUUUCGGUUCGGAAUAAUACAGGGAAACUUGUACUAAUACCGGAUACGCCCUUCGGGGGAAAGAUUUAUCGCCGAUAGAUCGGCCCGCGUCUGAUUAGCUAGUUGGUGAGGUAAUGGCUCACCAAGGCGGCGACGGGUAGCCGGCCUGAGAGGGUGACCGGCCACACUGGGACUGAGACACGGGCCCAGACUCCUACGGGAGGCAGCAGUGGGGAAUAUUGCACAAUGGGCGAAAGCCUGAUGCAGCGACGCCGCGUGAGGGAUGACGGCCUUUCGGGUUGUAAACCUCUUUCAGCACGGAAGAAGCGAAAGUGACGGUACGUGCAGAAGAAGCGCCGGCUAACUACGUGCCAGCAGCCGCGGUAAUACGUAGGGCGCAAGCGUUGUCCGGAAUUAUUGGGCGUAAAGAGCUCGUAGGCGGUUUGUCGCGUCUGCUGUGAAAGCCCGGGGCUUAACCCCGGGUGUGCAGUGGGUACGGGCAGACUUGAGUGCAGUAGGGGAGACUGGAAUUCCUGGUGUAGCGGUGAAAUGCGCAGAUAUCAGGAGGAACACCGAUGGCGAAGGCAGGUCUCUGGGCUGUUACUGACGCUGAGGAGCGAAAGCAUGGGGAGCGAACAGGAUUAGAUACCCUGGUAGUCCAUGCCGUAAACGUUGGGCACUAGGUGGUGGGGAACAUUCCACGUUUUCCGCGCCGUAGCUAACGCAUUAAGUGCCCCGCCUGGGGAGUACGGCCGCAAGGCUAAAACUCAAAGGAAUUGACGGGGGCCCGCACAAGCGGCGGAGCAUGCGGAUUAAUUCGAUGCAACGCGAAGAACCUUACCUGGGUUUGACAUACACCCUGCCGCUCCAGAGAUGGGGCUUCUUUUUGGGGGUGUACAGGUGGUUGCAUGGCUGUCGUCAGCUCGUGUCGUGAGAUGUUGGGUUAAGUCCCGCAACGAGCGCAACCCUCGUUCUAUGUUGCCAGCACGUAAUGGUGGGGACUCAUAGGAGGCUGCCGGGGUCAACUCGGAGGAAGGUGGGGAUGACGUCAAGUCAUCAUGCCCCUUAUGUCCAGGGCUUCACGCAUGCUACAAUGGCCGGUACAAAGGGCUGCGAUCCCGUAAGGGGGAGCGAAUCCCAAAAAGCCGGUCUCAGUUCGGAUUGGGGUCUGCAACUCGACCCCAUGAAGUCGGAGUCGCUAGUAAUCGCAGAUCAGC
Molecule: ribosomal RNA, 1252 nt
Filed under: uncultured bacterium
Lineage: Bacteria
Description: bacterial SSU rRNA
Rfam family: Bacterial small subunit ribosomal RNA
Source: RNAcentral